This 161-nucleotide ribosomal RNA is filed under the name uncultured bacterium. RNAcentral's name for it is "partial 16S ribosomal RNA". The record is from RNAcentral.
CACGAAGUUAGCCGGUGCUUCCUUUAAAGGUACCAUCAAGCACUAUGGCUAUUAACCAUAAUGGUUUUUGUCCCUUCCGACAGAGCUUUACAACCCGAAGGCCUUCUUCACUCACGCGGCGUGGCUGCGUCAGACUUUCGUCCAUUGCGCAAGAUUCCCCA